ACUCAGGACUUUGCACUUGCAAGGCAGGCGGCAGAACCACUGAGCUAAAUCCCCGGCCCUUGAAUUUUAAUGAGUUGAACUAAGUGAUAGAGACAAAAGUAAAUAUAUACACAAUAUUAGAGAAGCAUAAAUGCUACUGAGAACAAUAAUAGGGAAGGAAGGCCUCAAUGAGCUGACACGGGUAAAAUCCACAAGUGGAGAGGGAGGAGGCAUAUGAACAUUUCUGGAAAGAAUGUUCAGAGGGAACAGUUAGUGCAAGGAUUUGGAAUAUUUGAGGAAGAGCAAGAGAGCCAUUGAAUCUAGCAUAGUGAGGAAAGGGGACAAGAAUAAGGGUGAAAUUAGACAGGAGGCAAGAAGAAUCUGAUUCUGUGAUCAAAUUAAUAGGACUUGGUAGACUCUAACAGGACUCAAGCUUUAAUGAACAUGAUAUAGGAAGCUUUGGAGGAUUUAAAUGGAGGAGUAACAUGAUCUGCAUUCCUUGUCACUGGGUUACUCUGGCUGCUGGGCUGGAAGCAGAAGGGGCAAAAGCAGAGAGCAGAGGCCAGUUCAGUGUUCUUGCCAAUGCUGGUGGCUGGGAACCGAUCACAGCAUGGAAGUGGCAAGAGUGGUUGGGUUUGGGAUAUAAUUUGAAGGAACAGCUGGAUGGUGUAUGAAUAAAGGAAAUGAGAGACAAAGUGAUUCUCAGGUUUCGGACCACAGCAAGCAGAGUUGUCCAGUAUUAAGACAGGGAAGUCUGCGGGAUAAGUAAGUUUGAGAGAACUAAGGGUUUCAGGCAUGAAUGCCCUGGAUGUUCAAAGAAGGCAACCACUGCUGUAAUAGGAGGGAGCCAGGUGGAGGGUUUGGCAGGUACCAGAACGAUGGGCCUAAAGGAAGCAUGGCUUUGACUAGGGGGCAAGGCACUCCCAAGUGUGAAAAGCAAAGGUAAGUGGGUGGUCACACUUCUUUCUGCAAUGCACACAGUUUGGGGUGGAGGGUGGUUUCUACAGUUUGGAUGGUUUGGGAAAUACUCAUGGACAUUUUCAGAGGCCCAAAUAUGUACAAGGGCUGCUCUGUUUUCAACAUGUUAGCUCAUUUCGUUGUCCACCCAGCUAUUUGUGGAACUACUGUACCUCAUUUUAUAAAAGAGGCUUUCCCAGCCACCUAAAAUAACAACCCUCACUGCCUCCAUUUGUCUCUGCCAUCCAUUCCCUACCACUCGCUCUGUUUUUCUUUAGCAUUCAUUUGAUAUGAUAUUGCUUAUCUAUAUGUUUAUUUAUAUUUCUGUCUCCAUCAGAGUACAAGCUUCAUAAGGACAGGGUCUUUGAUUCAUCCUAAUAUUUCCUGUGCCUGGAAGAGUGCCUCACAUAUGCCAGAUGUUCCAUCUUAUAGAUGGUGAAACAGGCAAGAGAAGAUCAUAUGACCACACAGCUGCAAGUGACAAUGAUGUUUUAGAACCUAGAACCUGUCAGACACCAAGUCCAGCCUUAACUCUUCAUGACCUCAUUGUACUUACGUGGCAGAGAGUGCAAGAGGAAAGGCUGGAAAAUGGGCGUAAGCCUGAAAUAUAAGACAUGUAUGUUGAAGGAUAUAGGGGACUUUACUUCUGAACCAUUAAUAAAUGUGAUCACAAAUUAUUUUAAUGCUUUAUUCUUCCUCCUGGUCUGGGGGUAUGUUAAAAUCUUGGUGUUGGGCUGGGGAUUUAGUCAGUGGUUCUGCUGCCUGCCUCACAAGUGCAAGGUCCCGAGUUUGAUCCCCAGUACCAAACCAAACCAAACCAAACAAAAAUCUUCAUGCCUGCUGAGUCGCCUGCAUGGGAGAAAGACUGAAAGUUAAAGGAACCCAAAAGGAACAAAAGUAGUAAGAACUCAGAUUAAAAUACUGAGAAUGGUAAGAUAAACUUCAUUUUCUUGUGGUGUACCUCCUAGGAUGAGCUCCUAAGGUGUAGAAGCUUUGAAGCUCAGAGGAUUGUAUUUCAAAUGUGCGGCAGGUUACUUUCAGCUGCCUUGUUAGAUGUUUUGUUCAUCUCUCUAGAAUACCUGCCUACCAUGUUCAAGGCCUGGGUCUGAUCCCCAGUAAUAUAAAACAACAGUAACAACCAACCUUGGUAAUUUCCAAAGAAGAAACAAUAACCAAAUUAGGUCCAGCAACCUUUGAACUUUGACCACACUUGCUCUGCCUCUACCCUCCUUUAAGCUUCCUUCCUAUAUGAGAGAAAGCUGCUCCCUUACUUUGGGUUUGAAAGCCAUUGCCUCUACUCUUGAAGUAAGUACAAAGAAGAAAGCAAAGGAGGAAGACACAAGAGCCCCUUCUUGCCUAAUUUUUGGAAGCUCCCAAAGCUAUAAUUUUUGCAAGGGGUUGUGUUUACUUCCAACAGAGACUUAGAGGCCCUGAGGUUACUAUGGCUCUAUGCACCGGGCUCAACAGGCAGAAGAGACUGCAAGGGAUGGAAGGACAUGCAAGAAAUGCAUGGGAUGUCCAUGUAAACUAAAGUAUAUAAGGAAAGUCAGAAGAAAGCAAGACAGCAGAAAAGAAGGGAUGCCUCAGAAAUAACCUGGGAGAAAAGGAUGUGGGAAGUGGAAUGGAAAAAAUAUAAUGGGGCAAUUAAAGGAAAGAGGUGAGUUAUAGCACACUCUCAAUGGAUCAGAAAAGAACCAUUGUCUAUCCUCAAAAAGACCAGCAACUUCUGUCAGUAUGACCACAUUAAUUUAGGAAAUGGUGACAACAUUCACAUUUUUAACAUUGGUACCUUCAAGUGUGGAGUUAAAUGGAUGAGGGACUUGAACAUCUACAUAAUAGAGUGCUGAUACUAUGUAUGAUUUUUACUUCUUUUUCUUUUUUUUUCUCAGUAAAUAUUUUUCAAAUACAAAUACUUUUUAAAUGGGACAGUUAUAAAAAAAAAACAUGUUAAGUGGCCAGGGAUUUAGCUCAGUGGUUCCACUGCCUGCCUUGGAAGCACAAGGUCCUGAGUUCAAUCCCUGGUACCAAAAAACAAACAAACAAACAUGUUAAGUGUUUGAGUUAUGAUAAAACAAGGCAUAAAAUCAUUUUGAAGAUAUAUUGAAAAGACAGAUCUUUGAACUUUGAAAAUUUAAGAAAAGAAGUUGUUUAAAUAGAUUUUUAAAAAGAGCAUUAUCUUUCAGACCUGUCCAGGGCCAGGACACUACUUCCUGGCCAGUUACAGCUGUAUGAAAUAAGCAGGUAUUGGGUAGGGGGAGGAGAACCUGCUCCAAAGACCCUACUCAUUAAGCUCAGUUUCUAAGCUAGCUUUGCUGCUCACACUACUCAUUACAAAG
Heterocephalus glaber (naked mole-rat) is the source of this 3272-nucleotide long non-coding RNA. RefSeq lists it as uncharacterized. The record is from RefSeq and is a predicted model, not a curated record. Lineage: Eukaryota; Metazoa; Chordata; Mammalia; Rodentia; Bathyergidae.